Pipistrellus kuhlii (Kuhl's pipistrelle) is the source of this 2467-nucleotide long non-coding RNA. RefSeq lists it as uncharacterized. The record is from RefSeq and is a predicted model, not a curated record. NCBI's taxonomy places the organism in Eukaryota, Metazoa, Chordata, Mammalia, Chiroptera, Vespertilionidae. The transcript is spliced from 2 exons.
CCAUUGAGCCAAACCGGUCCCGGCAUGCUCUCAUCUAUUUUAAACAAAAAUAAAGCAAAGUCAUAUAUAAAGAGAGAAACAGAAAAAGUCAUUGACACAACUUCCAUUAUAAACUCAAACUCACUAAGGAAGACAUUUAGAAAUAGUUAAUAACUUUUUGUUCUUAAAAAAACACUGCAAUAUCUUGUAGUCAUGGGAAAUAACAGGUAAUACACAAUACUUAAUUACAUAUUUUGUUUUUUGAAAUUAGUAUUAAACUAAUUGUAGCAUAUCCAUUUUAGCAGGAAUUAAAAUAUUAAUUGGUUGGGGAUUUGGUAUCUGAAAUAGAUAACAGAACAGUAUAGAAUACUGUUGUAGUUACAGAUUAUUAUACAACUUAGGAAUUGUUGCUAGUAAAUGAAAUUAAUUUAUAUACUAUAAUAUUAAGCAUACAUAUACAUAAAUAUAUAGCUAAUUAAACAUUAUUUUAUGUUAAGGCAUUUUAUAUUUUGAUCAUGGCAGAGCUUUAAUAAAUAAAAGCUUAAAUAAAAAUAAGUUCCUCAAAAAGAAAUAAUUUAAAGAAAUUUAUACAUUCAAUGACUUGCAUAAUGACAAACUGGACAACUUAGAAAUGUUUCUAAUUUUAUUUUUAUUUUAUUAAUAUAAAUAACAAAAUAAAUAAAAGUUAACAAAUAUUAAAUAUUUACGUAUCAAAGACAUUUUACCAUAAACACAAUACUUUAAAAAUAAUAAUCAUACUUUUUAGUUUGUGCACCUUGAAGCUAUGAUCUUAGAAUAUCUAUAAGCAUUUGUUUUAUUUUGUUUUUAACUUAAAAGGCUUUCAAAGGUUAAACUAAGCUUGUUUUUUUAGUCUAAUUACGAAGAGUUUUCUGGAGUUAUAUUUUCUUUCUUGAUGAAAAAAAAGUAUUCUUAGUCAGUCCUUUGGCACUUUUUUGUAACCUAGGAAAGACUGCCCAAAACAACUAUUUUUGGGCUGGUAAUGUUUCUUAGUCUAGUAAUGUUUCAAUAAACCAAGGAGCUAUGUCCACAGACUGGUUUCUGACAGGGUUCACAGCUGCCUGUAGUGGAAUUGGUAAAGAAGUUACAUUGCUAGCAAGGUAUCCAAUAACAUGAGGCUUUUACAGCAGCUUUGUAUUUUUAUCCUUCACAAUAUUUAUUGACAUAAACAUUUCUAAUCAUAUAAUUCAGUACUAUUCACUUAAAGAAGUUAACUCAGGUAAUAGCCACACGAAGAGAUUAAUAGUUGUUUUUUGCUGACAUAAGAUGGUUCCUCCACUUGUACCUUUUCUACUGGGCACAUCACACUUGCUCUAAAUUCCAAAGGUGAAAAAUUAUCAUGGCAAUAAAAUCUUUGUUAUUAACAAAACAACUGGGAGCAUGAAUUAAGCUAUCAGAGAUGGGAAAGGUGUGAAAUAGGUGCCUAUUGUUCAUGCCAUGGGAGAGCAGCCUUAAACUCUUCAAAGCCAGAAAGGCUUCCCAGGUACAGUAAUUUACUGCCGGAUCGUGAAAACAACAAAGUUGAGGAGUCAGAAGGGCAUGAGAAGGAAUUAUCCAAAAAAGUAUUAAGAAGAUAUUUUUUUAGCCAACCUGAUAUGCUCCGGGGUUGAGCACCGACCCAGGAACCAAGUGGUCACUGGUCAUAUGCCUGGGUUGCUGGGCUUGAUCCCCAGUGGAGUGCAUGCAGGAGGCAGCCGAUUGAUGAUGUUCCUCUCUCACCCAUGUUUCUAUCUCUCUAUCCCUCUCCCUUCCUCUCUCUCUAACAAAAUCAAUAAAGAUAUAUUUAAAAAAAAGAUGUUUUAUGGUUUCAUAAAGUACAGAGUAUUUAUCACAAGAAAUAAACUUUAAAUUAGUGUCUAAGAAAUGUAGUACCAUUAGUUUGUUAUUAGUACUAUUAUGGUAUGUGUGUGUGUGUGUGUUUAGAAACAAUAGUAAAGUUCAAUGUAAUGCUGUCAUUGAGCUUUUUGGGCUUGCCUUCUAGUCGAAGUAAAAAUCAUCCUACAAAUAGAAGUCAAAGAAUUCUGAGGAAAUCACUAUGAAAAGGAAAAAAAAGAGCUAGAAGCCCAGGUUAAUCUUCUAAUUCAUAAAAAGGUACAGAAUAAAUGAAUGAUUUGAAUUGUUAGUAUUGUUAUUAUGACUAUUCUAGAGUCAGCUAGGAGUGAACAAUCUAACAUUCUUAGGCUAUUCAUUUUGCACAUGCUCGGUUUUUGUGGCAAUAUGAUUGCAUAUACCAUAACUUAAAUAUCAAUAUUAAUGAUAAUAUGCUUUCACAAUUUAGGCUCCCACUUCAAAAUUUGAUAUCACACUUUAUUCCUAAUGACGAAUAUAUUCAGCAAAAAAACUGGACUGCUGUCCAGCUGGGUUCGGGCUUCAUUCACCCUUUAGAAAGAUAACCACCAUCAACUCUAAUUGUAUAGAUUUACUGCAGCCUGGUUUCUCUGUUACAAUAAAAUUACUGUCGACCCAAAAA